This 6686-nucleotide long non-coding RNA is filed under the name Gallus gallus (chicken). The record is from RNAcentral. Lineage: Eukaryota; Metazoa; Chordata; Aves; Galliformes; Phasianidae.
UGGAGAUGGAAGCUAUGAAUGGCAUUUUUUUGCCCAGGAAGAAUAUUGUAGUGAAAGUUGUAGCACUGAUCUGAUGCUGCUCUCUCACAAAGCAGUCUUACUUUUAGUACUUUUUGAUAGAUUUGCAAACAAGCUGUGUGACACAAUACUUUCCAUAAAAUGUUCUGUGUAUUCAUAGCUUUGGUGAAGGAAGAUAAAGAUGAAUUCUGCACCUGGAAGAUUGCCUGAGGAAAACUGGCCCAAGCAGUUGAAUUUUAGCGAAGGGGUGAUGCUGCAUUGCUGCAAUGGUUUGAAGCCAGAUCACGUUUUCCAGGAGCUUUAUUGCAAAACCAGAAUUAAAGCUCAGCCUAUUCGAUCUGUUUGUAUCAAUAAAACAGUCAAGAAAAUGCUGAUGACAGUUGAACUAUUGGAAGUUUAUCAAGUUUUAUGGACUAAUGGAAUGUAGAUCACCAGUACUUACGUUAAUAAUGAUUUUAUAGUACUAUUUUUAAACAAAGUCAUAGAUUAUCAGAUCUAUUCUUUAAUUCUCUGUAUUUUUUUUUUUUAAUAUUGAACUCAGAAGUUCCAACAGAUGCAGUUUGCUUAUUGAGGAAAAACAUGUUAAUAAAAGAUUAACUGGAGAAUAGCUAAUCAACAUUCGCAUAUCCUUUUCAUUCAUUCUUGAUUGCAUACUCACUUCUUUUCCCUCUUUGUAUUCUUAUGUGUGCAUGUACCUAUUUAUCCAGGUGCGUAAUUUGUUUUAUAGUUUUAUUGUACUUGAUCUAAUUUGUAAAGCUAAUAGUUUUGCUUUGUAAAGCUAAUAGUUAAAUGUUACUGCUUUGGUAAUUUUGAGAAUUUGCAGGCAUAUUAAGAGCUGCUUACACUGAUAGUCAUAACUGAAAGGGUGGUACAGAGGAUCACAACAGUACACUGGGAAUUUUUAGUUCUGAUUUCAUUGUUUUAUUACAAAGGGUUAUGAAAGGGAAAGUAACAUUUGUAUUUCUUUUGAAUUUUUAUUUGAACCACAGAAGAGAACCAUUUGGAAUCUAGGUGAUGUGAUGUGCUAGACCAUGUACCCACGUGAUACGGAAUAAGAUUCAUUUGUUUUUCUUGGCAUCUUGUUUAGAUUGCAGAGGUGUAUCUUGAACUUUAUGCUUCUAAGCAAGCUGGAGACAGUGAGUGUUUGUCAUGAUUAGCUGACUUGUACUGAAGCUCUGUAUUCUAGGGCAGGUUGCUGUGCCUGCUGUGGUUUGUGGUGCUCAGGGCUGCUGCCUAGCUCUAGGGCAGCUAGUACAUUAACAAAGAACCAUAAACAGAAGCCAAAUGGUGAUCUGUGAGACACACAUCUUCAGAUAUUUUGUCCCAUUUUCAAGAAGCAGCGCAAGUAUGAAGUCUGCAUUAUAUCCUAAAUAGGUAUAGCCACUUGGUGUUGCGGGGAAAAAAAAAAUAAAUCUGUCAUAACUGUGCUGAUAACUGCCCUCAUGCAAGUACAGCUAAAUAUGCUACUUCUGUCAACAAGCCUUUGGGACAGAUUUCCAGAGAGACUAUGGAAUCUGUGGACAAAGUAUUGUCUUGCGCUGACCCUGCCCUGAGGAGGUUGUUGGACUGGUUCCCUCCUGAGACUCUAGAGUGAGUUAUUAUGGAAAAGAUUUCAAAACUUCAUGUUUGUAGACAAAAUGUACCUUUCUGCUGGAGCCAUCUUGACAUAGCUGUAGGGAUGCAUUAGACCCAUCUACACGUGAAACCUGCAAAGGUCUUUUUUUUUGCCUUGUUGUCUGUAGAGUUGUAAGGAGUGGUUGUGCGAAGAUACUAGGAACUAGUAGAGCGGUGAAUUUUUUCAAGCUGUUAUAAAAUACCUUACAGACAGCUGUUAGGGAAACUGUGAAAUUGCACAAAACCAUGGUGAUACAUGGAAAUAGCAGAAUUGGAGAAUUUCUGUACUCUAAGGGAGUGCAAGUGGCUUCCAGACCUGAGAUCUUGCAAGCAGCAGAGUGGAAUGCGAUUAGGAAUGUUUUAAGAAACAAGAAGAAAUUUUGUAUGAGCUGUUAAUAUCCAGCUUAGAGCAACUGUUGUUGUGAAUACUGUUUAUUGUUUGCGGUUGUCUUUGUGCACCUAGUGUGAUGCAUAACAUCCAACAAAUAAUUGCACCUGUCUUGUCAUGCUUGUGUUCGUUCUUACUAAAAUGUUGAUCAUUGUGCAGGGACACCCAGAAUUAAGUGCUUUCUCUACAGAUACUUGUCCUUGGAAAAGACUUUGCUAAGACACUCAUUUGGUUCAUAUUCUGGUCUUUUUUUUUUUUUUUUUUUUUUUUUUUUUUUUUUUUUAAGGAAUAUUUCCUAUGUUUGAAUGCCCAAGUGUAAGAAAGAAUUAUUGAAAACCUGACUAUAAAUAAUGUCUUAAAAGUAACAGCACCUGGAGUUAGGCUGUCCUCAAACAUUUUGUUCAUAGCUGGUAUUUAACUGUAAUCACACAGAUGUGCUGACUUAUUGUUUUUUUUUCCUAUAUCCAAAAUACCAUUAAUGAAAGAUAAUGUUUUCUAUGCAGGCAGGUUGUGCUAUUCUGGAUCAUUUCAGUUAUUAACUCCCCAGUAUCAGAAAUUUCCAAAUAUAACAGAAAAUUAACUUCUGCAAGGCACAAGUUCCUUCCUAUUGUCUAUAAGUAUGUGGAGGUGUAUCUUAGUGGGUAGGUGUGCCUCAAGAAUUUUAAUUUUCUUUCAUUGCAAUUAAUGUUUACAACCUCAUUGGGUUUUUAAGUGUUAAGAAGCAUUGAACUGCAUUUUCUAAAGAUUCUGCCAGUGCCGUGGGUGUCAUGACAGUUUCUAGGGCAUUAUCUGACAGAAUUUUGAUCAAUGUUAGUAUAUCCAAGUAUGUAUGACCAAAAUGAAUUUAUUCCAGAUUCAAUCUUGGUUAGGGCUGACUAAUUUUUGUUGUUUAUACAAAUAAAACAAAAUGCAAACUCUGUGGACUAAAAAAAAAAUAUGAUAAAGAUUCUUUAUUAAAGAUUUUAACUGAAGAUCUUUGCUAUUCAAUUACAUCUGUUUUUCACAAUCAAGGAGCCAAUCAUUUAUUUGUUUUAUAAGUAGUAACGUAUCCCUUUUAGGCAAUGACUUUGUCAAAUGCAGCACUAUUUUAUUUUCUUUCUCCUGCUUUCUUUAUUUUAUUAAACUUCUAUUAAAUGUAAUUAAGUAUGAAAUCAAAUGUUCCUAUAAAAUUCUCACUUUUAUAAGUUAGAGAAUGUCAAUUUUUAUUAACUUGACUGCAUUUUGAAGAGUAAAAGGAAUAUAAUGCUUGCUUUAUUUGCUGUACAGUGUAAGACUCCUGCUGUUUCAUUUCUAUUAAAUAAUAUGAAUUUUCCAGUAAGUGAUAAGUAGCUGUUUAGUAAGGAGAGCAAAGAAUUUCUUGGCUUGGUAAAUACAGGUUGCCUCAUCUUCCAUGCCAUUAAAUAACAGAGUUGCUCAGGUGAUGGGAAAAGUGGUGCUAGCAAAUAGCAGAAGUUUCUUCUGUGGUUGCUCGUUGUGAGAAGCUGCUUAUGGGAGGAUAAAAUGAAAGAGCUUUUACUCUCUUCAGCUCAUUCAAAGACAAGACAAAGUUUAACUCUUUGAAACUGCAAGUGACAUACCAGUAACUGCAGCAAUCCCGUAAAAUUCACACUGAAGUAAUAAGUACAAAGAUGUGUCUUGCUGUAUUUUCACUCACCACCUGAGUUAAGUAAUAAAGUUGGUUGCAGCAAGCUGCAGUGUUCAAAGUAGUGUAAUAACAGCGUGACGGACUGUGUGCUCAGGAAGGCUGUGUGAGAGAGCAUUACUUCAUUGUCAGUGAAGCCCUGUUCUUCAAACUCUCUAUGAUUUAUAGCAUCUCUGUUGCAGUUUGUUUAACUGUAAUUACUUCCUUACAGUUAAAAAUGUUUCUCAGAUGUUCAUAUAUUCGUAAGAAUCCAGUACCAAAAUAUAGUACUGUACCAAAAUAUAGCAUAGUCUAUUUUAUAUACUAUACUAUAUAUAGUAUAGUAUAUAUAGUACCAGAAUAUAAUAUAGUAAUAUAGUGUUUUUGGAAAAUUAAGUGAAAUCUAUAUGCUUAUGUCUCAUGUUUUAUUGUCUCACAGUUAUUUGACACGAGAAAAUAAAACAGGGUAAAUAUAUACAGGGAAUGCAGGAAUGAAGCAGUGAAGAACCCACUUGUGGUCAGUUGCUUCAUUGUAUCAGCCAACACCUGCUAGUGUGGACAAUGACUGAUCUGGGGGAUAGAGGAGGAUCUGGAGCUUAUAGUAACCAAGUGAGGAAAGUCAGUAUAAACAAUGUUGUAGAAAAGAAUGGUAGGGGAAUGCCUGCACUUAAUACACCUUGGGAAAUAAUACACCUUGAGAAAUACACCUAGCUGUUCCAGUAGACCAGAGAGAAUUAAUUAAUUCAACUUUUAGCUUUGUAAGAUACUCUUGAGUAAUAUGAAUAGAAAUGAUAGGCAAAUUUUAAUAAAACAGAAUGGAAAAGACCAAAGGGUGGCAGUUUUAGGGAGACCAACAUUUAUUUUAUAUUAAUUUUGUUUUAUUGCAAGUUUGCACAGUCUAUCCAGUAUGCUCCCUGCACAGUGCUCUUGUUUCAGCUUCAACUCAUUGAAGAGGAAUGGAGCAUAUCGAUGGCAAGCUUCCAGUGCUGUAAAUAAAUAACUCAGAAACAUUUCUCAUGCAUCCAGGAAAUGUGGCAUGUGAUAGUAAAACAAAAUUCAGAAGAAAGUAUUAGUAAUAAUAACUGAAAACCAUCAAUCGGAAUUUACUCCGGAAGCUUAAUGGAGGAUAAAUGUUUUAUAUCGAGGCAAUCUGGCUCCCAUUUUGCAGUCAGUUUAUGUAGGCAGCCAUUCAUGUAUGUGUUAGGGUGGAGAAGGGAAAAUAAUGUGAGCUUUAAAAGCUAUGUUAUGUAGCUCAGAGUAUCUUGUUAAAGCAAGCUAACGCCAAAUACAUUGUUUUAAUCUGAAAAUAAUCUUUUGCAGUAGGAACAUAAUUUCAGUAGUACUUCAGCUGUGGCACUAAGGCUGCCUCUAUAAAGUCACUUAAAUAACUUAAGUGGGGGAAAAAAAAAAAAAAAAAGUAGAACUCCUUGAAUCCAAAGAUAGCUGUCUAGGCAAGGAUUUGGGGUAUAUGGAUAUGUGCGUGUCCAAAGUGUGGUUAUCUGGUAUGGAUAAUUGGUAGUGUUUGCACUUCUUAUUAAUAGGUUUUGUUUUUAUUGGAUGUUUAAGUUAAAUCUGGUUACGUGCAUCUGUGGAGUCCUGUGGAGUCCUGUGGAGGAAGGAAAUUGGUCCAAUUCUAUUUCAAGUGAGUUUCAUCAGGCUGCUUUUGCUUGAAUCUGCCUUUGCUCUAUUUUACACUUACAGCAAGAUACUUGUAAAAUGUCAUAUGUCCAGGGGCGAUCUUGUUUCUCCUUUGCAGCUGUGGAUUGUGAUGAGGUUAUAUAUUAUGAUCUUAAACUUGUCUGCAGAAGUUAGGUGCUACAGAACUAUCGUUCUGGGACGAUAAUGGUGACAUGUAUGGGAUCUCUGAAGUCAGAAUGACAUCACUGAUGUCUGAUAUUACCGAAAACCAGGUCAAGUAAAUUUCCAAGAAAUCAGGACAAUAGGCGACAAAGGUCAAUGAAAAGAAGGAGAAAAUGGGAUUACAGUUGCAUAUCUGAAAACUAAAACAUCUGUUUUCUUAUCUCCUUGCAUUCUGGAAACUGUGUCUUCUGUUUCUCUUCCUGAUUAACUGUGGCAGAUUCAGUCGUGGCCCCUGGAGCUGCUUUCAAAUCAACACAGAGCUGACAGUAACAUCUGGAAUAAAAGGAGUAAGUUUUUGAGAGGCUGCUCUUAAGAGCUAAGUAUGGAACUACAAAUAGCACUACAGGAUUCCAGAUUUGCAUUCAAUAGUGUGAGAUGCACAAAUAUGUUGUGGCCAGAAGCUAGGAUGAAAUCCCUUUGAGAGAAGAUUUAGAGCUUGAAGAUCGAAGCUUUCUGAGAAAGAAAGGAUGGGAGCUAGUCUGAGCAAUCAGAGGAAGCAUGCAGCCGGAAAUUCUGUUCACCAAAUCUAUGAGUUUCUUUUAGUAUCUGCUUGUUGAAAAAAGCAAUACAGUGCAUUCUCGACAUGCAGCUCCCAAAUCAGGGCAGAAAACAAAUAUAUCUGAGACUACUUGUGGUUUCAAACCAUUGUCAUCUUUUCCUUUAUCUUCUUUCUCCUCAUAAACCUAUGACUCUUUUAAAAGAACUCUACUUCAUGCUUUCUUCCUUUAGUACUGACAGACCGUGUGCUCUCUCAGCUGCUGGAAGGGGUUGUUGGAAAACCCUUCUUGUAAUUGUCAUAAAGACUACCAAGCUCAGAGGAUAUCCAUCUGAAAUUAUUUCACUUUUUAAUGAACAGUCUGUGCCUACUUGCCUGGUCCAAUAAAACAUGGCAUCUUGUGGCUUUGCCUGUUAAAUUUUAGUAGGAGUCAUGACCUCUGAGGGAUACAGUUUUUCUUCUACAGCUACCCUAACUUCUUUAUUAGCUGCAGCUUUUGUGACAGAAGGAAGUCAAGCAGUAUAGACCUUAUAUUCUCAUCUAAUGAUAAAAACUUUUUCUUCUCCUGCUGCUUUCCUCUUCUUCAUCAAAUUAAAUUAAAUUAAAUUAAAAUGCUCAUGUUUGCCACUAAUUAUUCUAACUGCUAGGGAUGCUUUCAGUCCUCAUUCCAGCCAUAAUAAGAAAGGCCC